GCGGCGGCACGUGGGACGGAUCUCUUGGAUUUACCCGUAACGAGGAGCGGCGCACCCCAGGAGCCCCGGCAGCACCCCAGGAGCCCCGGCAGCACCCCAGGAGCCCCGGCAGCACCCCAGGAGCCCCGGCAGCACCCCAGGAGCCCCGGCAGCACCCCAGGAGCCCCGGCAGCACCCCAGGAGCCCCGGCAGCACCCCAGGAGCCCCGGCAGCACCCCAGGAGCCCCGGCAGCACCCCAGGAGCCCCGGCAGCACCCCAGGAGCCCCGGCAGCACCCCAGGAGCCCCGGCAGCACCCCAGGAGCCCCGGCAGCACCCCAGGAGCCCCGGCAGCACCCCAGGAGCCCCGGCAGCACCCCUCCCCCGGAGGGGGAUCCCGGCGCGCCACCCUCCCCCGGAGGGGGAUCCCGGCGCGCCACCCUCCCCCGGAGGGGGAUCCCGGCGCGCCACCCUCCCCCGGAGGGGGAUCCCGGCGCGCCACCCUCCCCCGGAGGGGGAUCCCGGCGCGCCACCCUCCCCCGGAGGGGGAUCCCGGCGCGCCACCCUCCCCCGGAGGGGGAUCCCGGCGCGCCACCCUCCCCGGCAACAACCUGUUGCCAUGUAUGGCGAUUUGUAUCAGUCACAAGCACACAACCCCUGCUAGUAUUAAUGGUGUUUAAGACGUUCUACAUGUACGGCGGACCGCAUCCGUCGCAAGCACGCGCAUAUAACCCCCAAAUGCCCCAUGAUGAGAAGCACAGCCACGCGUCAAAAAACUUUAAAAACAUCGUUAUCCAAUAUCAUUAAAAACCACACCGAAAUUUACACAGGUAGCACGUGACCGUGUUAGUGUCACCCACUGUACACAAGGCGUGUCGUAUAUGUAGUAUAGGUAUUUGAUGAGGCGGAAGCAUAUCCCGCUUCCAGCGAACGGAAAUAAGAAUCAUCCGUUCCAGCAUUUAUUCAAAGGGGGCACAGAGGAUUCACAUUGUUUAGAGAGAGUUUUUCUUAGUCACCAUUCCAUACUUGGGCAGUAUUGGCCUACGAUUUGGGCGACGUUUCAGGCUGGUCUAUUCUCCGUCCACUUUUCCCCGGCUAUUCUGUCCCAGCAUAGGCUCUUGAAAUAAACAAUGUUUACCGAGUAAAA
Molecule: long non-coding RNA, 1125 nt
Filed under: Human gammaherpesvirus 8
Lineage: Duplodnaviria; Heunggongvirae; Peploviricota; Herviviricetes; Herpesvirales; Orthoherpesviridae
Source: RNAcentral